UUGACUUGACUUGACCUGUGGGAAAGCACCAGUCUUACAAAUGAAAUGAAUACCUUUAGUUGUGUGUCCCUGUACACCCGUUAAAUGGUGGCACUGGGCUGGUGUGCGAAAACCAGACCAAUAGAACCAAAGUAGACAAAUGAAACCCACAUUUUAUGUAGUAUUUACACUGUUGGCCAUUUAGAAUAGAUUGAUGACACGGCAGAUCUCUUUGAGUGAAGCCAACACCUCCUUAUUGCCCCCUAGUGGAUGGCUGCAGUAUAUAGCCAAUAAAGCCUGCCUCCUAUAAAUACGACAAGACUCAAAUUAUAAGAUCAAAAAAACAAGACAAAUGUUACAAAAAUGAUAUAAUCACAACUGACACUAUCUUGGAGUUUGCUUGUCUCAAUUGGCUGGAAUCUAGCAAUCCAGCAACCUCAGUGUAUGGAAUUAUAUGUUUGUGGAAAUGAAUUUGUGUUUCAUGGUUCACAGAAAUUUUGGUACUUUUUGAACAUUUUGUUCUGGAUGGUACGGUGUUAGAACUUCCUGUCUUUUGGCACUUAACCAAGGUCAAAUUGUGAACAUACUGAUCCUGGAUUGAUACAAAUAUGAUGACUGGAUUGCUUUAGAAACAUUCGAGAAUAUCCAGCCAAUCAGUAGCCCAUAGAAGUUUGUUUACUGCAAAAUCCAAGCAUGACCAACCCAUGUAGAUAUACCUCUUGGACAAAGGUAAAGGGUCUCCUGUGCAAAGAAAUAUCUAAGAAAUAUUUGAAUUUCAACAUAAAAAACACCACAAAUUCCAUUUCUAAGAAGGAACUGAAUGCUUUAAGUUUCUAAUAUCAUUAUCUAUGCACUGAUCUGAGUUGGUGGGGUUACUGACUAGUACAGAGUGAUGUAAAGGCGGGAAAACACCCAAAAAAAUGUGGCGAGUGCUCCAGAAGAAUCCGAAUCUGACCCCAAACAGAAAGAGAAAAGUGUUGAAGUGUAUCAUCCACCAUUACAACAUCAUGCCCCAAAGUGGUGUGUUGAAAUUCUCAGUGUUAUUCCUACUUUCAUGCCUUUUAUGUUUAACUUAAUCCAGCAACACUAAAGCAAAAGCACAGCAGUGUAGGAGGAAGAGGAAUUGCUCAAGGAGUUAGUGGUUUUGCAUACAUGUUUAUGCAAAUUUGUCAUUAUGACAACACAGGAGCCGAUUCAUAUGUUCAUAGGAGCAAAGCCUACCCUGUAGGGGUCCCUCUCUUUUCCUCUGUGAUUACAAAAUAUGGGUGAGUGCCCCCUACAGGCCUGGAGCACUUUUGUUGUGACAUUAAGAUAUGUAGCGACUCUCUACUUUGCAGUUGUUUUGUUUUACAGAUUACAGAUCACUUCUUAGAUUACAGCCUAUCUAUGUAUUCAUGCAGUUUUUGAGCCUUUUUGCAGUAUGAUGUUUUAUUUGCGUUCCUAUCAGAUAUGGAAACUUCAGAUAAAUUGGUCUAAUUGGCCCUUGUAAGUUGCCUGUUGAAAAACACCACUUAACCAUUCAGAUAUGUUUUCACAGAGACUGUUAUUCUACUGAGUGCACAAACAACAUUAUCACGUAUCAAAAGCAGUACAUCUUGUAAAGUACUGUACAUGCAAAAGUGUGGAGGCUAAAUGGUCAAAGAGGCCGGAGUGGCUGAACAGCUGCUAGUUAUUUUGGUGUAAGCUGCUUCUGUCGUUUAUUAAUAAGUUCAGAAAGUCAUCAUCGUUCAUUUACUUGAAUUUCUUACACUUACUGAAGAGUGUGGGUGUUAAUGAAGGUGAUUCACUAGUCACUCUCUUCUCACUUGAUAUAUUGGUAUACUUGCCUGAGUGUUGGAGCAACUGUUUCACGCAGAGUUGGUUUUCAUUAAUGCAGUAAUUAAUAGAUGGAUGUGUUUGCUUAAAUGGUCACUGUAAUCAUCUUGUUAGUUUUAGAUGUGAAUAUAGAAACUGAUUUCAUUAGAGCGACUCUUCAUACCUCAGGCUGUUGAUGAUUAGCUGAAGUUAAUGUAGCCCUUUGCCAAAGAGACAGUGUGCAAUUCAAGCUGGGUAAUGAUUAGGGUAUAAUUAUAACUGCUAUGCUCUAAGCAUGCUUUACAGCGGCCUAAUUGCUCUAUCUCCAGCCUAUAUGAGGAUCUUUUGUAACUUAUUUUGAAGACCACAAAUAUAUGCCUUUGAAUAUGUCAUAUUUAUCUUUAUAAAGUUUCUUUCAUUUUCCCUUUUUUAUUUUCUUGUCACGCCUCUUGGACCGAGCAGUUUCAGGAACAUCAGUUUCUCAGUUUUAAGUCAUGAGUUUGGAUUAUACCCUUUCACAAAGCUCAACAGGAAAACAACAGCAGAUUUUGCAGGUGUAGAAGAACAGGGAGAGGAAAAUCACAGGCAGAUAUCAAAGAAUAUACCUUUGCAAGCAAUAUAAAGAAAAUUAAAGACUUCAAACUGUCUGAACCAUAAUCACAAAGGGCUUUUAUGCCUCCUAAAUCUGUGCAAAUGAGACAAAAAGAUCACGCAUAAUAGACUGAGGAUAUGCAAUAGGGUAAAUGAGCCCCACACCAUACUCUGGUACUAUUUGCAAACCCAUAAGUAAGCCCUUGUGUAUCGUUGUGGGGUGAAAUUGGACCCUCUCCUAUGCAAAUGAACUGCUCUAACAGUCAUGUGAAAUUCAAGUGGAAAUAUCACCAUCUGCUGAGACAAGUAAACUAGGGUGACCAUAUUCUGACUUCCAAAAAAGAAGACACGACAACACGGGGGCGGAGUCAUGGAGUCGCACAAAGUUAAUUUUGAGAGUUUUUCGGUCGGAUUGUGUGUGUUUUACGCGCUUCUAACUCAGUAAGUCAGCAUGACACAAACUCGGAAAUUUUGUACAAAACCACGAAUAUUUGAAGGAUUUUAUAAACUUACCCGGACAAACCCUGACAGCCCCCCAAAAAGAGGACAUGUCAGGGUAAAAGAGGACGUACGGUCACCCAAAGUCAACACAGCGUUGAUAAUACUUUGACUUUACUUUGGUUAUCAGAGGUUAAGUUGGUCUUGGACCCUCCAGGGUGUAGCCACGGGACGAGUGUGAUUGUUAUUUGGACAAACUGUUCUUCCUCGAUCAUUCCAGAGAGAAACUUUUAUGACAGUUCUAACAAACUUCUGUUUAUCUGUUGGCUUCUCUAAGCUAAGACAAAGCAGAUGCAGACAGCUCAGAUGCAUGACUGGAUGCAACACAAGAGUAAACUGUGAAAACAAAGGGUUAUUUUGUGCUGAAACAUCACUGAUACAAUCUCACACUUGAUAGACCAAGUGCUGAAACUCUGCCCUUUAAGAAGAAUCCCACAUGUGAAACCCUAAAAACCCAGCCUUCAGUCUGUGCUUGUUUAAUAAGCCUGACUCCUGAACUUAUCAAACAUCCCUGGCAGAAAUGUCGAGCCUGAGCACACAACAAACCAGACUGAUGAAGCUUCCACACACACUUCACACUUGUACUCUCAGAAGCCUUUUCUUUGUGCGAGCUGCAGGGCUCUGGAAACAGAUUGACUGCUGCUGCUGCUGCCGACAGACUGGAGCUACACUCUUUCCCUGCAGCAGCUGGCAGAGCGUAGAAGUAAUGUGACAUCCGACUCUGGCUGCUGGAAGAUGCCUGGAACUGCUGAAGUCUUUUCAUCUGUUACCCUGCAACCAACAACAAGUCCCUGCAGCCCUUCCUGUCCUCAAUGUAUGUGCUUUGCCUUCGCACUUUGAUCAUUUCUCAUGUUCGUCCGUCCUUUUGAACAGCAACCAGCGAUUGUUUUUUCUUGCCUCUGUGGGCUGGCCUUGUUUUUCACAUUGGCAUGCAGUUCUUUUGAUCCCAACAUCAGUGGUAUCCUGAAUGACUUCUUUAUUGAUGUACAAAUCACUCAGCGGCACAAUGAGAACUACAUCUCUGUCAGACUCAGUCGCUUUUUUGAUGAUACAUUAGAGCAGCCAGGUAAACUCCUCUGAAAGCAAGUCAUUAAAAUAAUUAGUGCAAUUUCAUUCGGUCGGAUGACGGAUCCUUUAUUUGAAGACAAAUUGGAAUAAGUUUAACAAGCACAAGCCAUUCAUAUGUAUAAAUAUUAAGAGAAUCAGUCUUUUUUUAUUAAGAGACCAACUGGAAAUACACUGGGGUGAAUAGGAGUGGGCACGACUACCUGAAAUUUAAAUGACUGUUUGUUUUCAGCUCUUGGUGUUGUGAGUUUAGUAAUCCUUUUUUAGUGUGUUACAUAACUUUUCACAAGCCCCAAGCACUGAAGAAUAUUGGAUUCCUGCUGUGCCUCACAUCUUAAAAGUUUAACAUCCUUAGUGGACAAAGCUUCCAGACCAGAAGUUCUUUAAACUUUGAUUUUAUAACUCUUGAAAGUUUUUCAAAUCACAACUUCUGGCUUUUGACACUUGCAAAUCUAAUCCAACUUUUAAUCUUUAAAUAAAAUGAUGUUUUUUUGCCACAGUUGUCAAAUUAAAAAACAUCAUUGAACACUCUGAUUUUGUGAAUCAUCACUUUGAAAUCAAGUUAUUCUCUUGGCUUGAAUGAGCAUCUGUAAAAAAAAAAUGUGAAUCUGGAGAAGCCAAAGCCGCCACUCGAGAGGGACAUACAAACCAAUCUGAUUAAUUUGCGUAAAACAAGCUUUUAGGAUUCCCGUGGCUACAAAGAAUCAGUGGAUCUGAAUCUUUACUCUGGGGGCUGUCCAGGGUGUCCAGCCUUGCCCGGGAAAGUUGAUAAAAUCCUUCAAAUGUCCACGGUUUUGUAUGGAAGAUUCGAGUUUAUGUCACGUGGACUUACUGUGUUAGAAUCCAACCCCAAAUACUUGUGUGACUCUGUAACUCUGCCCCCGCGUAGUCGUGUCCCUUUGUGGGGGACUCAGAAUAUGGUCACUCUACUUUCUUUUACUUUCUUUCACCCUACUUUUUUUUCUUCGCUGGAGUUUUCAUCUACUCUGUAAGUCAUGUCAAACUUAAAAGUUGAGAUAACACCAAGCAUGAAUAACAUAAUUCCUGUGAAUGACACAAUUAGACGCAAGUUCUUGUCAGGUGAUGUGGAUUAAGUCCAACUAAACAGAUUAUAUGUUCAAAUGAUGCUGAUUACAGCGCCAAUGUGCUACUCGCCUCAUUCGCUUAUUUGCAGGAGUUGAAAAAUCUGAACUCAAUCUGAACUUUGGAGAUUUCUGGUGACUUGUGCGUCAACAACUGAUCAAAGGAGGUAAAUUCAUAAGGGGCAAACUAAUGCGACUGCCUGAGGCGACCUGAGCGAGAGGACACGACUUCUUUUUGAGUACUGAAGCAGGAAUAAGAAAGGAGGAAUAAGUGAGGAGGUUAGAUUAUCUAGUAAAUAGUGCAAACAAAACAAAUCCCGACAGUGUUAUAAACUUUCACCAUCUAUCCAUCCAUCUUCAACCAUUUAUCUGGGGUCUAUCUAUCUGGAGAAGAGAAGCCCAGACUUUCCACUCCCCAGCCACUUCAUCUGGCUUCCCUGAGAGGCGUAGACUCUCCAGCGUGUCUCGGGUCUUCCCUGCAGUCUCCUAACUGUGGGUCGUGCCCUAAACGCCUCACCAGCAAGGUGUCCAGGAGGCAUACUAAUUAGAUGCCCAAGCCACCUCAUCUGACUCCUCUCAAUGCGGAGGAGCAGCGGCUCUACUCCCAGCCCCUCCCGAAUG
This is a non-coding RNA of Xyrichtys novacula (pearly razorfish), 5630 nucleotides long. Lineage: Eukaryota; Metazoa; Chordata; Actinopteri; Labriformes; Labridae. The record is from the annotation of a GenBank genome assembly.